RNAcentral lists this ribosomal RNA (495 nucleotides) under uncultured bacterium. RNAcentral describes it as "partial 16S ribosomal RNA". It matches the Rfam family "Bacterial small subunit ribosomal RNA", at positions 28 to 507 of the family's 1533-position model. The record is from RNAcentral.
GACGAACGCUGGCGGCGUGCCUAAUACAUGCAAGUAGAACGCUGAAGGAGGAGCUUGCUCUUCUGGAUGAGUUGCGAACGGGUGAGUAACGCGUAGGUAACCUGCCUGGUAGCGGGGGAUAACUAUUGGAAACGAUAGCUAAUACCGCAUAACAGUAGAUGUUGCAUGACAUUUACUUAAAAGGUGCAAUUGCAUCACUACCUGAUGGACCUGCGUUGUAUUAGUUAGUUGGUGGGGUAACGGCUCACCAAGGCGACGAUACAUAGCCGACCUGAGAGGGUGGUCGGCCCACAUGGGACUGGGACACGGCCCAGAACCCUACGGGAGGCAGCAGUAGGGAAUCUUCGGCAAUGGACGGAAGUCUGACCGAGCAACGCCGCGCGAGUGAAGAAGGUUUUCGGAUCGUAAAGCUCUGUUGUAAGAGAAGAACGAGUGUGAGAGUGGAAAGUUCACACUGUGACGGUAUCUUACCAGAAAGGGACGGCUAACUACGUG